RNAcentral lists this transfer RNA (75 nucleotides) under Marmota monax (woodchuck). RNAcentral's name for it is "tRNA.Ala". Lineage: Eukaryota; Metazoa; Chordata; Mammalia; Rodentia; Sciuridae. The record is from RNAcentral.
GGGGUUGUGGCUCAGUGGCUCUACAGCACUCACCUAGCAUGUGUGAGGCACUGGGUUCCAUUCUCAGCAUCACAU